Molecule: non-coding RNA, 930 nt
Organism: Maylandia zebra (zebra mbuna)
Lineage: Eukaryota; Metazoa; Chordata; Actinopteri; Cichliformes; Cichlidae
Source: RefSeq, a predicted model, not a curated record
CCUGAAUGCGAGCAGAAAUGAGCUGGGUGUGGAUGACGACACACUGCAGCAAUGGGCUGAAGGUGAGUCUCAAUAUAAUGCACUCGUGUAUAACAACAGGACCCACCAUGGCCUCAUUAAAGAACUUAGAGUUAAGAUCUUUCUGACAGUGUCAACAAACAAUGAAAAAUAAGCUUGUAAAAGCAGAAUUGAUGGCAGAGUUGUUGCGUUUGAUCAAAUUGGAUUGGACCUGGGUUGAAGUGAUGUCGUACUAGUUGGUUUUAUAAAGCUGAACACCAACAUACUUGUUAUCUCAUGAUAAUGCAGCACAUGAAGGCUCCAGAUGUCUUAUAAUGAAUAUCAUCAAGUCAGUGAUUACAGAGUCCACUGUAGUUUGGUGACUGUUACUCAUCCUGUGUUCUGAUUAAUAUUCCUCUCACUUAGAAACGGAUCAAACUGAUGGCAGCCUUGGAGCGUUGCAGGCACGAGUAGAGGAGCUUGUCGUCAUCAUCAGAGUGCGAACACAAAGUCUUUACAGACAAAAUGGUGUCACAGUUUCUUUGAAACGGACCGUUUGAUGCUCAGUUUGUACAGCUUGUACAGCUACUUUGUAAACAGAAUAAAAUCAGAUCCAGAUAGCAACAAGAGGCGACACAGAAUUCACAAGGUCAUCUUAGAUGAGAAGAAACGCUUGGCGGCUGCUGUUGACGACUACAACAAGGAAACAAGCAACAAAGCAAAUCGUAUCCAGUGAUGCCCUCAUGCAGAGCGACGUUUGGCCCUGGCAGAGCACAAGUGAACCUGCUGCUGACCUCCGGACAAAGAGAAAGGUCUUUGAGAAGGUGAUGGCUGUGAGGCGCCUGAGAGAGGAGGAGAUGAUCCUUUGCAGGGAGAUGCAGCAUCACUGGACAGUGUUGCAAAUGCGAUCUGUGGUGUUGGGGACAAUCUCCU